This is a long non-coding RNA of Oncorhynchus keta (chum salmon), 382 nucleotides long. RefSeq lists it as uncharacterized. The record is from RefSeq and is a predicted model, not a curated record. The transcript is spliced from 3 exons. Lineage: Eukaryota; Metazoa; Chordata; Actinopteri; Salmoniformes; Salmonidae.
CCACCACACGGGAGGUGGAAUAUCUCCGUAUGUAUCUCCUGCACACCACCACACGGGAGGUGGAAUAUCUCCGUAUGUAUCUCCUGCACACCACCACACGGGAGGUGGAAUAUCUCCGUAUGUAUCUCCUGCACACCACCACACGGGAGGUGGAAUAUCUCCGUAUGUAUCUCCUGCACACCACCACACGGGAGGUGGAAUAUCUCCGUAUGUAUCUCCUGCACACCACCACACGGGAGGUGGAAUAUCUCCGUAUGUAUCUCCUGCACACCACCACACGGGAGGUGGAAUAUCUCCGUAUGUAUCUCCUGCACACCACCACACGGGAGGUGGAAUAUCUCCGUAUGUAUCUCCUGCACACCACCACACGGGAGGUGGAAUA